GACACUUGUUUUCCAUAUUGGGGCUGGAGGUUUUACUACUGGUUUGCUGUGCUUAUAUCCUGCUGAGCAGUGAAUGAUUAAUGCUGUGACUAAGAGCUUCCCACAGACUUGCCAAGACACCAUCUAUGGUUUUGUCAUUUAGAAUUUGUUAAGAGUCUUGAUAUAUUUUGUUUCUGAGGGAAAGUGGGGAGAGCUCAGGUGGAGAGCCCAUGAUUAUUUCUUAAGGACCCUUAAAUGUUUCUUUGUUUGGAGGCACAGGAAAUACCCUGCAUGGAAGAAAAGAGAAGGUACCCUAAAAGACUAGGGUUUGGGAAGGAGCAAGAAAUACAUCUUUUUCUGGAGACAAAUGAUCCACCACAUAGAAGGAGUGGAAAUUUUCAAGUUGUUAUAAGGAGGAUACAACUUUGAGCCAGAGGGAAGCCUAAA
This is a long non-coding RNA of Sarcophilus harrisii (Tasmanian devil), 426 nucleotides long. RefSeq lists it as uncharacterized. The transcript is spliced from 3 exons. The record is from RefSeq and is a predicted model, not a curated record. Lineage: Eukaryota; Metazoa; Chordata; Mammalia; Dasyuromorphia; Dasyuridae.